UUGUAUGUUAAUUGCAUAUUGUAUAUGUAGAAUAUAGUGUUCAUGUAGCCUCAUUAUUUAAUGUUCCAUGUUUUUUUAUAAUCCUAUUGCUCAUUUAACAUUAGUAUAUGAAUUUUAAUAACAGUAGAGUUGCAUAAUCUCCAUAAGCAAUAUAUGUAAGGAUAUAAUAUAGUAAUUUUUUCAUACAUACACAAAUUAUAAUCUUUGUAUUCAUAUUAUUUCUCUACAUAUAUAAAUCUAAGUAUUUUUUUUUUUUUUUUCUCUUUUUUUUAUUCAUCUUUUAUUUUAUUAAUUUAGUGUUCUAUUCAUGUUUAUUUUCAUUGUUAUUUUUGUUUUAUUUCUUAGGACACAUACAUAUUGAAAGGAAAUUUUUUCAUCAUUUCUUUUGAGAUAUAUAUAAUUUCGUCCACAUGUAUAUUUGUUAAUAGAAAACUUUUUUUUUUUUUUUUUUUAUACUAAUAUUUUUUUUAUACUCCCUAUAUAUGUGAAAUUUCCAUACAUAAGAUUUUUUAUUCAUAUAAUAUGCAUGUGUAAUUGAAUAGGCAAGAUUUUACAUCUUCUUAUUUAAUAUUGACAUAAUUAUAUUAUGAUAUGUUUUAUUUCUUAUUCUUUUUUAACUUUUUAAUUUUUAUCUGUUUUUUCUUCUUUUUUUUUUUAUAUUUAUGUUAUAUUCAAGAAUACAUUAGUUUAUAGAUUUUAAUUCAUCUCUUAUUUCUUUUAUAUAUCAUCUGAGUUUUUAUAAUAUAUAUAUAAUAUGCACAUUUAUUUUUACAUAUAUAUUUAUAUGCAUAUAAUAUAUAUUCAGAGUAAUAGAAAAAACAUAUAUAAUUUAGUGUAUAUGAAUUUUGAAAUAUUAGAAGAGUAUACAUGAUAUUGUUAAGCAUUUAUUUAUUUUUAUUUAUUUAUUUCUACAUGUAUUUUUGUUGCACUUCAUAUAUCUAUAUUUCGGUCUUGUUUUGAUUUUAUAUAUUUACAUUAAACGUAAGAGUGCAUUUUUGUGAGACACAAUUUGCUAUAGUUUUAUUUAAAUUAUUUUUAUAUUAAAUUAUAUUUUAUAAAGAGUAUAUAUAUUUACAACGUUGUAUAAGAAUCGAGAACUAAUUAUAUACAAAGCAAAAGAAAAGGAAAAUAGCA
Non-coding RNA from Plasmodium blacklocki (nom. inval.), 1134 nucleotides. The record is from the annotation of a GenBank genome assembly. NCBI's taxonomy places the organism in Eukaryota, Apicomplexa, Aconoidasida, Haemosporida, Plasmodiidae.